GAUGAACGCUGGCGGCGUGCCUAAUACAUGCAAGUCGAGCGAACAGACGAGGAGCUUGCUCCUCUGACGUUAGCGGCGGACGGGUGAGUAACACGUGGAUAACCUACCUAUAAGACUGGGAUAACUUCGGGAAACCGGAGCUAAUACCGGAUAAUAUAUUGAACCGCAUGGUUCAAUAGUGAAAGACGGUUUUGCUGUCACUUAUAGAUGGAUCCGCGCCGCAUUAGCUAGUUGGUAAGGUAACGGCUUACCAAGGCGACGAUGCGUAGCCGACCUGAGAGAGUGAUCGGCCACACUGGAACUGAGACACGGUCCAGACUCCUACAGGAGGCAGCAGUAGGGAAUCUUGCGAAAUGGGCGAAAGCCUGACGGAGCAACGCCGCGUGAGUGAUGAAGGUCUUCGGAUCGUAAAACUCUGUUAUUAGGGAAGAACAAAUGUGUAAGUAACUAUGCACGUCUUGACGGUACCUAAUCAGAAAGCCACGGCUAACUACGUG
Molecule: ribosomal RNA, 497 nt
Filed under: uncultured bacterium
Lineage: Bacteria
Description: partial 16S ribosomal RNA
Rfam family: Bacterial small subunit ribosomal RNA
Source: RNAcentral